GGUGACGGUUCCCCUCGGGGAUCAAAAGGGAACGCGGUGAGGGGGAACCCGAUGCCGCGGCUGCCCCCGCAACUGUAAGCGGCGAGCCUUCCGCCACCAUGUCACUGGGCAGUCGCGCCCGGGAAGACGGUGAGAGGGCAGAGACCCGCGAGCCAGGAGACCUGCCGUCAGUCGU
This 175-nucleotide non-coding RNA is filed under the name uncultured Methylobacterium sp. The record is from RNAcentral. Lineage: Bacteria; Pseudomonadati; Pseudomonadota; Alphaproteobacteria; Hyphomicrobiales; Methylobacteriaceae.